This 460-nucleotide ribosomal RNA is filed under the name uncultured bacterium. Its description in RNAcentral is "partial 16S ribosomal RNA". It matches the Rfam family "Bacterial small subunit ribosomal RNA", at positions 338 to 795 of the family's 1533-position model. The record is from RNAcentral.
CCUACGGGAGGCAGCAGUGAGGAAUAUUGGUCAAUGGGCGUAAGCCUGAACCAGCCAAGUCGCGUGAGGGAUGAAGGUUCUAUGGAUCGUAAACCUCUUUUAUCAGGGAAUAAAGUGCGGGACGUGUCCCGUUUUGUAUUUACCUUAUGAAUAAGGAUCGUCAAACUCCGUGCCACCAGCCGCGGUAAUACGGAGGAUCCGAGCGUUAUCCGGAUUUAUUGGGUUUAAAAGGUGCUUAGGCGGCCGUUUAAUUCAGGGGGGAAAGUCGGUGGCUCAACCAUAGAAUUGCAGUUGAUACGGGGAGGCUUGAGUAUGUGUGAGGCAGGCGGAGUGCGUGGUGUAGCGGUGAAAUGCUUAGAUAUCACGCAGAACCCCGAUUGCGAAGGCAGCCGGCCAAGCCAUGUCUGACGCUGAUGCACGAAAGCGUGGGGAUCAAACAGGAUUAGAUACCCUGGUAGUC